GGAUGCCUAGGCUCUCAGAGGCGAAGAAAGACGUGAUAAGCUGCGAUAAGCUACGAGGAGGGGCAAAUACCUUUUGAUUCGUAGAUUUCUGAAUGGGGAAACCUAGCUGGUUGAAGACCAGUUAUCCGCAAGGAGGCAAACGCGCUGAACUGAAACAUCUAAGUAGGCGCAGGAAGAGAAAACAAUAGUGAUUUCCGUAGUAGCGGCGAGCGAAGUGGAAAUAGCCCAAACCAUGAUUGUUUCGGCAAUUAUGGGGUUGUAGGACUGGGAUGUCCGAAAUUAAGCAUAGUAGAAUCAGUUGGAAAGCUGAGCGUUAGAGGUGAUAGCCCUGUAUAUGAAAUGUUUGAUGUAGGUACCAGUAUCCUGAGUAGGGCGGGACAUGUGAAAUCCUGUCUGAAUCUGCCAGAACCAUCUGGUAAGGCUAAAUACUCCUGAGAGACCGAUAGCGAACGAGUACCGUGAGGGAAAGGUGAAAA
Molecule: ribosomal RNA, 476 nt
Filed under: Pelagodinium bei
Lineage: Eukaryota; Dinophyceae; Suessiales; Suessiaceae
Description: Pelagodinium beii partial Bacterial large subunit ribosomal RNA
Rfam family: Bacterial large subunit ribosomal RNA
Source: RNAcentral